Molecule: ribosomal RNA, 105 nt
Filed under: Escherichia coli
Lineage: Bacteria; Pseudomonadati; Pseudomonadota; Gammaproteobacteria; Enterobacterales; Enterobacteriaceae
Also listed under: 21 other names
Description: partial 23S ribosomal RNA
Rfam family: Bacterial large subunit ribosomal RNA (bases 1-93)
Source: RNAcentral
GAACGUUGAAGACGACGACGUUGAUAGGCCGGGUGUGUAAGCGCAGCGAUGCGUUGAGCUAACCGGUACUAAUGAACCGUGAGGCUUAACCUUACAACGCCGAAG